This 510-nucleotide ribosomal RNA is filed under the name uncultured bacterium. RNAcentral describes it as "partial 16S ribosomal RNA". It matches the Rfam family "Bacterial small subunit ribosomal RNA", at positions 28 to 507 of the family's 1533-position model. The record is from RNAcentral.
GACGAACGCUGGCGGCGUGCUUAACACAUGCAAGUCGAACGAAGAGCGAUGGAAGCUUGCUUCUAUCAAUCUUAGUGGCGAACGGGUGAGUAACGCGUAAUCAACCUGCCCUUCAGAGGGGGACAACAGUUGGAAACGACUGCUAAUACCGCAUACGAUCUGACCUCGGCAUCGAGGAUAGAUGAAAGGUGGCCUCUACAUGUAAGCUAUCACUGAAGGAGGGGAUUGCGUCUGAUUAGCUAGUUGGAGGGGUAACGGCCCACCAAGGCGAUGAUCAGUAGCCGGUCGGAGAGGAUGAACGGCCACAUUGGGACUGAGACACGGCCCAGACUCCUACGGGAGGCAGCAGUGGGGAAUCUUCCGCAAUGGACGAAAGUCUGACGGAGCAACGCCGCGUGAGUGAUGACGGCCUUCGGGUUGUAAAGCUCUGUUAAUCGGGACGAAAGGCCUUUUUGCGAAUAGUGAGAAGGAUUGACGGUACCGGAAUAGAAAGCCACGGCUAACUACGUG